This is a non-coding RNA of Oryzias latipes (Japanese medaka), 559 nucleotides long. NCBI's taxonomy places the organism in Eukaryota, Metazoa, Chordata, Actinopteri, Beloniformes, Adrianichthyidae. The record is from RefSeq and is a predicted model, not a curated record.
CCCAAUCAGUAAACUUUAUAAGCCGCUACCCCGGAAGCUAUCACAUUCCAUGACAGGAGAGCUGAAUUGAGACGCUACGGGAGCCAACUGCCAGUAUAACACGCCGCGAAUAAGCAGCAUAUUUGGUGCACUUAGUCGCAAUCGGCCAUAGGGAUUGAUGGCGAGCUAAGCCCGAACCUGAUCAAGCGCUGGAGCUCUCUGAAGGAAUCACCUCCUCCCUGUCGUUCAGCCCAGGCUGGUAGGAGGCUCCUGUAGCCUAAUGACUCAUUUAAUCAAUGCAACUGCAUUCGUCCUACAACCCAGAGACACAAAGACUUUCAAUCACUUCCCAUCCCUGAACACUAACCUCCGGAUUCAACUAUUUCUGUCUGGGUUGCAUGGACAAUACAUGAGCUGAUGAUAUUGAGUCGGAUACGACGGAUCACUCACUGAACCGUCCAUCUGUACAUAAUCUUUGUAAAGGAUAUCCUGGAAUAAUUUGAAAUAUUCUUUUGUAAUAUUGGUGUAUGGUGUAUGUUUAUGUGUGUGUCUAAAAAUACAUGGUACCAUUCAUAGCAAA